Molecule: non-coding RNA, 31 nt
Filed under: Mus musculus (house mouse)
Lineage: Eukaryota; Metazoa; Chordata; Mammalia; Rodentia; Muridae
Also listed under: 1 other name
Source: RNAcentral
UCAAGAUACAGAACACUUCCAUUGCCCCCCU